This 1043-nucleotide long non-coding RNA is filed under the name Mus musculus (house mouse). RNAcentral's name for it is "long non-coding RNA chr8:11637281-11638324". The record is from RNAcentral. Lineage: Eukaryota; Metazoa; Chordata; Mammalia; Rodentia; Muridae.
CUGCCUCCCAAGUGCUGGGAUUAAAGGCGUGAGCCGCCACCACCGGCCAGCUUCUACUUUUUACUUAAUGAAGUUUUACUUUUUCCCUUUUGCUAUAUAUUUGUUCCUUGUGUAUGUUUAUCCUUGAGGAGGCUACAUAGUAGAGAUUAAAAUUACUGUAUUGCAGAAACUGGGGCCUGGGACUCAUCAUCCUCCUGCCUCAUCCUCCCAGCUGCUGGGAUUAUAAAUAUGCCACCAGGCUACAUACCUUACAUUGCAACAUUAAGUAGCAUAAAACAAGUAAUCAGAAACCAGACAAUUGAUAAAGGGGAAUUGUUAACCGGGUGAACACACUACACAGCCAUCCGUUCAAAUAACAAACACUCCCUGUGAAGGUGAUAUUGAGAAAUGUUCCAGUCUACAUAGACAAGUGUGAUGUUUAAUUCACUGAGCAGUGACUAAUGCGUGGGAAAUAUGAGACGUCAUCUGUCUGUCUCUAGUUCAUAAUCGGUGAGGCAAGAGCACAGCGUAAUAGUUUUGGUAUUACUUGGGUGCUUGCACUGAAUGGUGGGCUCUUGUGUUUCAAGCUUCUUUCACUGAGAAGUUGGUUUUGUUUGACAUGCCAUUGGCCUGUAUGUGAGCGCAUCCCCUUAAGCUCUGGAAAGAGGAGUCUCAUUUUGCAAGAUAACAGGUGUACCUGGUCAGCUUUUCCAACAAGGGAGAGGCACUUUCCCCUGUCUUCUGGGGACUGUGAGCCUGAGAUUUAUACUUAAGGGAACUCCCUUGGGUGUAGAAUCAGAUCUGGAUCAUGUGACCAACCCAUGUUCGCCUUAAACAUGUUCUCAUGUGCAGCGUGGCUCAUGUGGAUGUCUGAGGAUAGUUUUGGGAACCUUUUUCUCCUACUACUUGGAUUUGUGAGGUUGUCUUCAGCUCAUCAGCCUUGGCAGCAAGCUCCUGUACCUGCUGAGCCAUCUCACUGGCCCAUGCUUUGCAUUUUCACCGUGAAUUUUAUUUUGCACACAGUAUCAAGGUCUAGUAAAAUAAAAUGUAAUGUUUGGAUUCUU